GGUCUGAGUUCUUAAACUUGCUGUGCUGCCCCGUCUGGCCUCGAAUGCAUGGGCAGGGUUGAUCCUCCUGCCUCAGCCUCUGGAGUAGCAGGGGCAAGAAGUGCACUCUACACCAAAGUACUGUGGGAAGGAGCGGAUUCCCUGGGGAGCGCAGAGCCUAGGACUGAUUUCCUCGGUCUGUGUCUGGCUGCAGAGUCACGAGGGCAGCUGAGAGGUUCCGGAGCAGUGCGGGGCGGCACAGCUGCCUGGGGAGCGGCAGGGACGAGAUGGCCCUGGGAGGACAGCAGCAGGGGACAGACCGUGACUGCACCUGGGUCCCAUGGGUGCGGGUGAGAGGCCGGUGGCCGCUGUGCACAGAGGUCUGGAGUCCGGCUGUGCUGUCUGUGUCCCUCCUCUGCAGCUGCUUCGUCCUGAGCUCUGUGGGUGAGUUCUGUGCCCCUGUGGGGCAGCCCGGGUCUUCUUCGGAGAUUUCCUGGAGAAGUGGGUUCCUGACCUGACACACUUGCUCCUGCAUCCCAGACGCGCGCUUGUCAUGGAAGGCACGGUGCCCCUGGUGCCGUGAUGUGGGCCGCUGUGUGGCCCUGGCUGCCCGGCCCCAGUGCGG
Molecule: long non-coding RNA, 604 nt
Filed under: Fukomys damarensis (Damara mole-rat)
Lineage: Eukaryota; Metazoa; Chordata; Mammalia; Rodentia; Bathyergidae
Description: lncRNA (ENSFDAG00000030800.1)
Source: RNAcentral